This 426-nucleotide ribosomal RNA is filed under the name uncultured bacterium. Its description in RNAcentral is "bacterial SSU rRNA". It matches the Rfam family "Bacterial small subunit ribosomal RNA", at positions 356 to 773 of the family's 1533-position model. The record is from RNAcentral.
GGGGAAUAUUGGACAAUGGGGGGAACCCUGAUCCAGCCAUGCCGCGUGUGUGAAGAAGGCCUUAUGGUUGUAAAGCACUUUAAGCGAGGAGGAGGCUCCCGUAGCUAAUAUCUACGGAGAGUGGACGUUACUCGCAGAAUAAGCACCGGCUAACUCUGUGCCAGCAGCCGCGGUAAUACAGAGGGUGCGAGCGUUAAUCGGAUUUACUGGGCGUAAAGCGUGCGUAGGCGGCUUUUUAAGUCGGAUGUGAAAUCCCCGAGCUUAACUUGGGAAUUGCAUUCGAUACUGGGAAGCUAGAGUAUGGGAGAGGAUGGUAGAAUUCCAGGUGUAGCGGUGAAAUGCGUAGAGAUCUGGAGGAAUACCGAUGGCGAAGGCAGCCAUCUGGCCUAAUACUGACGCUGAGGUACGAAAGCAUGGGGAGCAAAC